This 85-nucleotide transfer RNA is filed under the name Tenacibaculum dicentrarchi. Its description in RNAcentral is "tRNA-Leu". It matches the Rfam family "tRNA". From Rfam's summary of the family: Transfer RNA (tRNA) molecules are approximately 80 nucleotides in length. Their secondary structure includes four short double-helical elements and three loops (D, anti-codon, and T loops). The record is from RNAcentral. Lineage: Bacteria; Pseudomonadati; Bacteroidota; Flavobacteriia; Flavobacteriales; Flavobacteriaceae.
GCUCGAGUGGCGGAAUUGGUAGACGCGCUGGAUUCAAAAUCCAGUGACUUAGGUCGUGCGGGUUCGAUUCCCGCCUCGAGUACAA